ACUUCUUUGGUAAUCACAUUUGCUAAAAUCAGACCAAAUAAUAAUUAUAUGCAUUAACAGUCACUCUUACUACUUUCAGGGCGAUCGAGGUUUUCCAGGUCCUCCAGGUAGAAGAGGGGCUCCAGGCAUUCCAGGUAUUGCUGGCAUCAAAGGAGAGAAGGGGUGCCCUGCAGAGGGAUAUAACCAAGGGUAUGGUGCAAAAGGUGAUCCUGGAUUUCCAGGAAUGCCUGGACUUCGGGUAAUUCAGAAUUAAUUCACACUGUGAGAUUUUUUUAUAUAUAUAUAUAAAAAACAUAUUAUAUAUAAUGUGUAU
This 313-nucleotide long non-coding RNA is filed under the name Athene cunicularia (burrowing owl). Its description in RNAcentral is "lncRNA (ENSACUG00000012744.1)". The record is from RNAcentral. Lineage: Eukaryota; Metazoa; Chordata; Aves; Strigiformes; Strigidae.